UCUCCUUUUCUCCCUUUUUCUGUACUCUCGUCCUCACCUCUGCCCACUGCCCAGUUCUGCGUUUCUCAAGUUCAUACUCUCACCUCUCUCUACCAAGUCACUCUAUCUCCUCUCCUCAAUAAUCUGCUCUCAUCUCUCAACCUUAUUCAGUAUCCUAAGGAGAACGCGCUCCACACGCCUAAACCCUAGAAAACUUUGUCUCUGUUCUUGUUGGUUCUCGUCCGGCUGUGCCGCGGCGUGGGCGCAGGCCUCUAGCCUCGCCAGCGUGCGUCGAGUACGGCCGGACGAGAUGUUGGUGUAGGUGGUUGGUCUGGCGAUCAGAGUCUGGGGUUGAGAGGUUUGCUCUUGCCUGGGUUCCAGUUGAAAAUGACGGAGGCACAGAAGGAGGGUUCGUGGUUGAAGGAGGUGACCGGUUGCGUGGCCGGCGUUCGCAUCCGAUCUGGAGCGUGGGUCAGUGGGUGGAUCCGAUCCGAUCGUGUGGUAGUUGGAGUCAGUGAGAGGCGUGGUGCUGGGUUUCUACCGGAGAUGGUAGUUCCUCGUAUUAGAAUCUCGUGGUUUGGGGUUGUGGUCAUGGAAGGGACGAUCUGCCGGAUCUUUGCCGGAGAUGGUGGGUCGACUGCAGGCAGGGUCUGAAAGAGGAGGCGGCGCGCCGGUCUGGGAGACGCGACGGUGGUGGAUGAGCUGACUGUGCCCAAGUCGGAUUGGGCUGGGAUCAAGGAGUUCGUUGUGUGCACAACUCUUGGAAGAAGAAAUUAGUGCAAUUCAAAGGAGGGAAAGGUGGAGUUUGCCGUGCAAAAUUCUAGGGAAGUUAAGAGGAAGGAAUAAAAUCAGAAAAUACUAGAGAGGAAUAAGGGAUGUAUCCGGUCACCAUUCAAGGGAAAAGAGAUCAUAAAAUUCAAGACUCUGUCAUGAGAAAAUCAAGGAAAUUUGGAGAAAUCACCUCUAGAUGAUUGGCCAUGAUUGCAUCACAAGAGAGGAGGAUUCCUCUAUAAAUAGCAGCCAUUCUUGACACAACUUCUCCCAUAAUUCUUUCAUUCUUUUCAACAUCAGAAAAAUUCUCUCCAUUCUCUAGUCUUUAGAAGCUCUGCGUCUCAACCAAGGAGGAGGAGAAGUCAUGCAAUACAUCAAGAUCCUACCCACCAUCCACCCUUGUGUCGUCCCUAGAAGAUUGCUUGCUUUCAAGGAUCUUCGAGUUCUUCGUCUCAAGGCUUUGUCAUUCAUCUUUCACGGUGUAUUUCAUACUUUCUUUUGUUUUCCUUUGUUUGAUUCGUAGAGUUAUGAAUUCUAGUUAACAUGACGUUAAGGGCAAAGUUUAAAGCCCGUCUCUAUGUUUUGAAAUAAAGUUGUGAUUUCUAUGUGUUGAUUUCUAUGUUGCUUAUGUGAGA
This is a long non-coding RNA of Rosa rugosa (rugosa rose), 1385 nucleotides long. RefSeq lists it as uncharacterized. The transcript is spliced from 3 exons. The record is from RefSeq and is a predicted model, not a curated record. Lineage: Eukaryota; Viridiplantae; Streptophyta; Magnoliopsida; Rosales; Rosaceae.